Molecule: long non-coding RNA, 1239 nt
Organism: Corythoichthys intestinalis (scribbled pipefish)
Lineage: Eukaryota; Metazoa; Chordata; Actinopteri; Syngnathiformes; Syngnathidae
Exons: 3
Source: RefSeq, a predicted model, not a curated record
AUUUUAGACCCCAGGUUUAAGACCAAAGUUGAUAAGGCUGAAAUCUGGGACCGGAUUAGGGGGGGCUGCCAUCACAGUAAACACAGAUGUAGAUGAGCCAGGCCAAAGACAGACUCAAGAGGAGUGUGUAGAUGGAGAGAAGAGGAGGGUGAACAGGAGGAAGAUGACUAUGAGAUGCUACAACCAGCAGCAAAGCAGAAAAGGACAGCCUUGGAGGAACAGUUCGAAGAGGACCAUGAGCUCCUGACAUGCGAAGAAGACAACCCCAGUCUUUCCUUGGCCCAGAGAGUGGAUCAGGAGAUCCAGUUAUAUAAAAGUCUGCCCUCCAUUCCUAGCAAAGAUGACGCCAUCCUUUGGUGGUGGAACUAAAGAGAGAGACUGCCGUUGCGGUCAGCACUAACUGAAGGCUUCUUGUGCGUGCAAGCAUCCUCCACUCCAUCUGAAAGGGUGUUCUCCACAGCUGGAGAUACAAUAAGCCCAGAAAGAGCACGUAUCCUUCCCACAAAAGCAGACACGCUUGUUGUUUUUGCAUAAGAAUUGCUAAUCGAGUGUUCAGUACGGUCAGCAAAAUUGCAUUUACUGUAGCAGUACACAAAUAGUUCUAUUGAACCAAAGAGUACGUGAUUCGUCACUGGCUGAUAGGCACCUUAUUUUUCUUUGUUUAACCCUUGAGAGUCGAAGGACGCGCCGGCGCGUCCUCAGCGCACGUCGUCUUUGAAGCGCCCUCACGUUUUAAUUACGUCACCCACAUGCCUUUGGUUGGUCUCGUUUUAAAGUGCGGAAGUUGCGGUUUACUCUCGUUAUUAUUUGAAGUCAAUCGACCAACUAGAACGUGAGAUAUUGUCAUUUAAGUUUUAUAGUUUUAUUGUCCUCUCAAAAAAACAUUAAAACGCUGCAUGGAUCAUUUGUUUAUGUCUAUAUUUCCAUCAUUUCUUGUCCUUUUUCAAAACGGAAGCUCCAUGAAAAAAACACAAAUCAAACGAACCCUUUCGAAGUCACAGUGGAAGCACAAAAUGCGUUUUUUUUUUUUUUUUUUUUAAAUAUAACUGCCGUGCGAGGUUCUACCGAACGAGAGGAAGGAGCGAGGUGACGAGCGACGGCCGUUUGGGUCCAGCGAGCGACUUUGUGUGACUUUGAGAAUGAACGGAAAACUAAAUUUAGCGCAAGCAGUUGUGCUUUUUGAUCAACUUGAGGAAGAGGAUGGUCCAAAUUCGUCAUCAUCGUCUUCUUCGGAAGAGU